CGGAGUGUGGCGCAGCUUGGUAGCGCACCACAAUGGGGUUGUGGGGGUCGGAGGUUCAAAUCCUCUCACUCCGA
Molecule: transfer RNA, 74 nt
Filed under: Thiothrix eikelboomii
Lineage: Bacteria; Pseudomonadati; Pseudomonadota; Gammaproteobacteria; Thiotrichales; Thiotrichaceae
Rfam family: tRNA
About the family: Transfer RNA (tRNA) molecules are approximately 80 nucleotides in length. Their secondary structure includes four short double-helical elements and three loops (D, anti-codon, and T loops).
Source: Rfam by way of RNAcentral